This is a non-coding RNA of Podospora australis, 102 nucleotides long. The record is from the annotation of a GenBank genome assembly. Lineage: Eukaryota; Fungi; Ascomycota; Sordariomycetes; Sordariales; Podosporaceae.
GGUUGUGUAGUGUAGUGGUUAUCACUCUGGAUUUUGAUUAGGUAGAUUUCAGAUCUUAUCGUCAACCUUCCAGUAACCCCGGUUCGAACCCGGGCACGACCU